RNAcentral lists this ribosomal RNA (299 nucleotides) under uncultured bacterium. RNAcentral's name for it is "partial 16S ribosomal RNA". It matches the Rfam family "Bacterial small subunit ribosomal RNA", at positions 30 to 329 of the family's 1533-position model. The record is from RNAcentral.
AUUGAACGCUGGGCGGCAUGCCUUACACAUGCAAGUCGAACGGUAACGCGGGGCAACCUGGCGACGAGUGGCGAACGGGUGAGUAAUAUAUCGGAACGUGCCCAGUAGUGGGGGAUAGCCCGGCGAAAGCCGGAUUAAUACCGCAUACGACCUACGGGUGAAAGGCGGGGGAUCGCAAGACCUCGCGCUAUUGGAGCGGCCGAUAUCAGAUUAGGUAGUUGGUGGGGUAAAGGCCUACCAAGCCUACGAUCUGUAGCUGGUCUGAGAGGACGACCAGCCACACUGGGACUGAGACACGG